CGGGGGAGCAAGCGUUGUUCGGAUUUACUGGGCGUAAAGGGCGCGUAGGCGGCCACCGCAAGUCGACUGUGAAAUCUCCGGGCUUAACCCGGAAAGGUCAGCCGAUACUGCGGGGCUAGAGUGCAGAAGGGGCAACUGGAAUUCUCGGUGUAGCGGUGAAAUGCGUAGAUAUCGAGAGGAACACCUGCGGCGAAGGCGGGUUGCUGGGCUGACACCGACGCUGAGGCGCGAAAGCUAGGGGAGCGAACGGGAUUAGAUACCCCGGUAGUCCUAGCCUUAAACGAUGAAUGCUUGGUGUCUGGGGUUUUAUAGUCCCCGGGUGCCGUCGCUAACGCUUUAAGCAUUCCGCCUGGGGAGUACGGUCGCAAGACUG
This 373-nucleotide ribosomal RNA is filed under the name uncultured organism. RNAcentral's name for it is "bacterial SSU rRNA". It matches the Rfam family "Bacterial small subunit ribosomal RNA", at positions 527 to 896 of the family's 1533-position model. The record is from RNAcentral.